Molecule: long non-coding RNA, 899 nt
Filed under: Medicago truncatula (barrel medic)
Lineage: Eukaryota; Viridiplantae; Streptophyta; Magnoliopsida; Fabales; Fabaceae
Description: long non-coding RNA (MTRU_LNC005456)
Source: RNAcentral
UUACUAUCAAUAAUAAAAGAAACCGGCUAAAUAGCCACAAUUUAAGUAGUGAAUCCUCACUAUUUUUAGGGACUUGCUUAUAGCUCUUAAUCCAAACUUGGUGACACACAUUCUUACAAUUUCCUUUAACUCCCUUGAACCCAUCAUCGGAAGCCCCAAUGGGUUGGUCUGCAAAUAAUGCCAAGUUUGUAUAGUUUUUUCCCUGCAAUAUUGAGGAUUCAAUGGAGGCCACAUUGUGUUUGAAUAUUUGGAAGUGUUUUUCGUGCUCUACAUCAUCCUUGCAGACCUUUCCAUAUUAUGUCAUCCAGAGCUUGUAUCUUUCUGCUAAUGAUGCAUCAUCAACUUGGUCUUGGAUGCCAUGGGACAAAUAUCCAAAUUCCUAUUAGUAUGUUGAUUAGAGUACAAAGGUGCUUGUUUUGUUCUAUCAAACCCUAAAAGUGUUUGGCUACGCACUUCCAACUUGUGGUAGUAUUUUUUUGGUACAAUCAGUAUUUUUUGUAGCAUAUAGACACUAUAAAUUUUCUAUGUGAAAGAAGGUAAUGUGCGAUAAGUUUUUUUGUGUUUGUAAUGCGAAAAUUAUAUCAAAUAUAUUUUCAUUGUGAAGACGCCUUUUUUCAGUGGAGAAGGGACUCUAAUUUUUUUUUUUUUUUUUUUUUUUUUUUUUUGGUUUGGAUGACAAAUUGAUGUACUUAAAUUGAGACUCUAUUGGAAUACAUUACACAAUGUGGAGUUCUGUUAUCUGUGAUAAACAUCAGGUUGGUGCGCCCCAGAAUGUUUGUAUAAUAGAAUUUUGAUUAUUACCUACAUUUAGCUCCACUAUAUUUGAAAAUUUAGACUCCGGUCAUUUGCCUAAUGUAAUUAGGAAAGUCAUCUAGGAUAAGCGUCACUUUUUUUUUUCU